AACGUAGGAUCCGAGCGUUAUCCGAAUUCACUGGGCGUAAAGCGCUUGUAGGCGGCCUGAUAAGUUGGAUGUAAAAUCUUCUGGCUCAACUGGGAGAAGCCGUUCAAGACUGUUAGGCUAGAGGACGAUAGAGGGAGGUGGAAUUUCCGGUGUAGUGGUGAAAUGCGUAGAUAUCGGAAGGAACACCAGUGGCGAAGGCGACCUCCUGGAUCGUAUCUGACGCUCAGAAGCGAAAGCUAGGGGAGCGAACGGG
This 253-nucleotide ribosomal RNA is filed under the name uncultured bacterium. RNAcentral describes it as "partial 16S ribosomal RNA". It matches the Rfam family "Bacterial small subunit ribosomal RNA", at positions 524 to 776 of the family's 1533-position model. The record is from RNAcentral.